UACAACAUUGUAAAAAAAGCAUAGAAUGGAUGCCUUGACUCAAAACUCCGAUGAAGGACGCGGCCAGCUGCGAUAAGCUUCGGCGAGCUGCUAAGCAAGCUUUGACCCGGAGAUUUCCGAAUGGGGAAACCUUACAAGAGUUAUGUCUUGUAACCUCGAAAGAGGUGGACACUAGGGGAACUGAAACAUCUAAGUACCCUGGAUAAAAGAAAUCAAUAGAGAUUCCCGUAGUAGCGGCGAGCGAACCGGGAUCAGCCCAAACCUUAUCCUUCGGGAUAGGGGGUUGUAGGACCUCAAUACGAGGCCUUCUCCUAUUAGCCAAACGACCCUGGAAAGGGCGGCCAAAGAGGGUGAUAGCCCCGUCGGCGAAAAUAGGGAAGAUCUCCAGAGUGUUCCUGAGUAGGGUCGGACACGUGAAAUCCGGCCUGAAUCUGGGAAGACCACUUUCCAAGGCUAAAUAAGUUUUGAGAUCGAUAGUGAACAAGUACCAUGAGGGAAAGGUGAAAAGCACCCCAGAUAGGGGAGUGAAAUAGAACCUGAAAUUCUUUGCUUAAAAUGAGUCGGAGCCCUUCGGGGUGACGGCCUACUUUUUGUAGAACGGACCAACGAGUUAGCUGUAUGAUGCAAGCUUAAGGAAGUUUAAAUCCGUAGGCGUAGCGAAAGCGAGUCUUAACCGGCGCCAAGUAUCAUGCACUAGACCCGAAACGGGGUGAGCUACCCAUGGGCAGGAUGAAAAUAGGGUAAAACCUAUUGGAGGUCCGAACCAACCGGUAUUGCAAGACCGGUGGAUGACCUGUGGGUAGGAGAGAAAUUCUUAUCGAACUCCGAGAUAGCUGGUUCUCUUCGAAAUAGCUUUCGGGCUAGCCUCGAUUAUACGUUUGGGGGGUAGAGCACUAUUUAGGCUAGGGGGCAAAAUCCGUCUACCAAACCUAGAUAAACUCCGAAUACCCAAACUUGAGAUCGGGAGUCAGACGGUGACAGCUAAGUGCCAUCGUCAAGAGGGUAACAGCCCAGAUCGUCAUCUAAGGUCCCUAAUAGAAACUUAGUGGUAAAGGAUGUGAGGAUGCGUAUACAACCAGGAGGUUGGCUUAGAAGCAGCCAUUCCUUUAAAGAGUGCGUAACAGCUCACUGGUCUAUGCGUUCUUGCGCCGAAAAUGUAACGGGUCUCAUGUUUCUAACCGAAGAUGCGAAUUUAUAUUUAUAUAAAUGGUAGAAGAGCGUUCGUAGCAGCAGUGAAGUCAGACUGGGAAGUCUGGUGGAGCGCUAUGAAGUGCAAAUGUUGGUAUAAGUAACGUCAGGAGAGUGAAAAACUCUCCCACCGAAAACCCAAGGUUUCCCAAGCCACGUUAAUCGACUUGGGGUUAGUCGGUCCUAAGGUCCAGGCGAAAGCCGUAAACUGAUGGACAUCAGGUUAAUAUUCCUGAACAAGAUGCAAAUCGUCCAAGCAAAGCUGGAUUGACGAUAUUCGUGAGUCAAAGCCCUUCGGGGCCGCGAUGAAUGAACAUCCGAUUGAAAGUGGCGCUAGAUCCGGGGGGACGCCGCAGGAUAAUCCGAGCGCAUUAAGAAUUUGCGUUCAAGUGGUAAGCUUAUGCUUGUGUAGGUAAAUCCGCACAGGUUCGCGAUCCAUUAUGUAAAGGCGCCGCAAGGUGCUGAUUCGGGUGAAUUCAGCGGACGAGAAAAUCCUCGUUUCGAGAGUUGCAUCUUACCGUACCGCAAACCAACGCUGGUGGGUAGGUAGAGUAUACUAAGGUGAUCGAGAUAACUGCGCUUAAGGAACUCGGCAAAACAGCAGGCGUAACUUCGGGAUAAGCCUUGCCUGCACCAUGAGAUUAUAUCAACUCGGUGUAGGCCGCAGCGAAUGAACUCCUGCAACUGUUUAUCAAAAACACAAGUUCGUGCAAAGUCGUAAGACGAUGUAUACGAGCUGACCCCUGCCCAGUGCCAGAAGGUCAAGAGGAGAGGUGUAUGCUUCGAAUCUAAGCCCUGGUGAACGGCGGCCGUAACUAUAACGGUCCUAAGGUAGCGAAAUUCCUUGUCGGGUAAGUUCCGACCCGCACGAAUGGGGUAAUGAUGGGAGUACUGUCUCGAGCGCAGACUCGGUGAAAUUACAAUACGGGUAAAAAUGCCCAUUAGAUAUGGCAGGACGAAAAGACCCCGUGCAGCUUUACUAUAGUCUGACAUUGAUUCAGGGCACUACUUGUGCAGCAUAGGUGGGAGACGUUGAAGCCAGGGCGUAAGCCUUGGUGGAGUCAUCAGUGAGAUACCACCCUUGUUUUGCUUUGAAUCUAACCCCCACUGGGGGAACAGUGUUUGAUGGGUAGUUUAACUGGGGCGGUUGCCUCCUAAAGAGUAACGGAGGCGCGCAAUUGGUUCACUAAGGUCGGAUGGAAACCGAUCUCGUCGUGUAUUCGCACAAGUGAGCUUGACUGCAAGGCCUACAAGCCGAGCAGGUACGAAAGUAGGUGAAAAUGAUCCGGUACCACCAUGUGGGUGGGGUAUCGCUCAACGGAUAAAAGUUACGCCGGGGAUAACAGGCUAGUCUGGUCCAAGAGUCCACAUCGACGACCAGGUUCGGCACCUCGAUGUCGGCUCGUCGCAUCCUGGGGGUGGAGAAGCUCCCAAGGGUUUGGCUGUUCGCCAAUUAAAGCGGUACGCGAGCUGGGUUCAAAACGUCGUGAGACAGUUUGGCCUCUAUCCGCCAUAUCUGAAGGAAAAUUGAAGGAAGUUGUCCCUAGUACGAGAGGACCGGGAUGAACGAACCUCUAGUGUACCUGUUGUCGCGUCCGCGGCAUUGCAGGGUAGCUAUGUUCGGUCUGGAUAACCGCUGAAAGCAUCUAAGCGGGAAGCCAGUCCUAAGAAAAUUUUCCCUAUGAACCUCCUUGUAGACUACAAGGUUGAUAGGCCGCAGGUGUACGCACAGCGAUGUGUUCAGCCGAGCGGUACUAACAGGUCACUGAUGUUGUUAA
RNAcentral lists this ribosomal RNA (2966 nucleotides) under Candidatus Peregrinibacteria bacterium. RNAcentral's name for it is "23S ribosomal RNA". It matches the Rfam family "Bacterial large subunit ribosomal RNA". Lineage: Bacteria; Candidatus Peregrinibacteriota. The record is from RNAcentral.